GGGCUUGUGGUUUAGUGGUAUAAUACUCCCUUAGCAUCAGUUCCUGAGCGUUACAACGCACAGGAUCAGCUUGGGAGUGGUCCAGGGUUCGAUUCCCUGCAAGUCCA
Transfer RNA from Alternaria alternata, 107 nucleotides. It matches the Rfam family "tRNA". Rfam says of the family: Transfer RNA (tRNA) molecules are approximately 80 nucleotides in length. Their secondary structure includes four short double-helical elements and three loops (D, anti-codon, and T loops). The record is from Rfam. Lineage: Eukaryota; Fungi; Ascomycota; Dothideomycetes; Pleosporales; Pleosporaceae.